AACGAACGCUGGCGGCAUGCCUAACACAUGCAAGUCGAACGAGACCUUCGGGUCUAGUGGCGCACGGGUGCGUAACACGUGGGAAUUUGCCUCGGGGUAUGGAAUAACUCAGGGAAACUUGAGCUAAUACCAUAUAAUGUCUUCGGACCAAAGAUUUAUCGCCCUGAGAUAAGCCCGCGUAGGAUUAGCUAGUUGGUGGGGUAAAGGCUCACCAAGGCGACGAUCCUUAGCUGGUCUGAGAGGAUGAUCAGCCACACUGGGACUGAGACACGGCCCAGACUCCUACGGGAGGCAGCAGUGGGGAAUAUUGGACAAUGGGCGGAAAGCCUGAUCCAGCAAUGCCGCGUGAGUGAUGAAGGCCUUAGGGUUGUAAAGCUCUUUACCCGAGAUGAUAAUGACAGUAUCGGGAGAAUAAGCUCCGGCUAACUCCGUGCCAGCAGCCGCGGUAAAG
This 451-nucleotide ribosomal RNA is filed under the name uncultured bacterium. Its description in RNAcentral is "bacterial SSU rRNA". It matches the Rfam family "Bacterial small subunit ribosomal RNA", at positions 29 to 525 of the family's 1533-position model. The record is from RNAcentral.